This 497-nucleotide ribosomal RNA is filed under the name uncultured bacterium. RNAcentral's name for it is "partial 16S ribosomal RNA". It matches the Rfam family "Bacterial small subunit ribosomal RNA", at positions 28 to 507 of the family's 1533-position model. The record is from RNAcentral.
GAUGAACGCUGGCGGCGUGCCUAAUACAUGCAAGUCGAGCGAACAGACGAGGAGCUUGCUCCUCUGACGUUAGCGGCGGACGGGUGAGUAACACGUGGAUAACCUACCUAUAAGACUGGGAUAACUUCGGGAAACCGGAGCUAAUACCGGAUAACAUGUUGAACCGCAUGGUUCAACAGUGAAAGACGGUUUUGCUGUCACUUAUAGAUGGAUCCGCGCCGCAUUAGCUAGUUGGUAAGGUAACGGCUUACCAAGGCAACGAUGCGUAGCCGACCUGAGAGGGUGAUCGGCCACACUGGAACUGAGACACGGUCCAGACUCCUACGGGAGGCAGCAGUAGGGAAUCUUCCGCAAUGGGCGAAAGCCUGACGGGGCAACGCCGCGUGAGUGAAGAAGGUCUUCGGAUCGUAAAACUCUGUUAUUAGGGAAGAACAAAUGUGUAAGUAACUAUGCACGUCUUGACGGUACCUAAUCAGAAAGCCACGGCUAACUACGUG